Molecule: long non-coding RNA, 2727 nt
Organism: Ostrea edulis (European flat oyster)
Lineage: Eukaryota; Metazoa; Mollusca; Bivalvia; Ostreida; Ostreidae
Exons: 4
Source: RefSeq, a predicted model, not a curated record
AUGAACUCUUCUCCUCCCAUAUGGCUUAUUGGAUAGACUUGAAACUUUGUACAAUGCUUAAUUGUCAUUUGUAGAUGUGCAUAUUGUGGGAAUGGGAGGAUCCAAAGUUUUUCCUAAAAGAUAUAGUGGAUCUAAAAGGGGUGGAGGAUGUUAAAAUACCUUGUGAACACUUCUCCUAUAUGGCUUAUCUGAUAGACUUGAGAAUUUGUACAAUGCUUCAAUGCCAUUUGUAGAUGUGCAAGUUGUAGGGACAGGAGGAUCCAAUUGUUUUCCUAAGAGUUAUAGUGGAUCUAAGAGGGGUGGAAGAUGUAAAAUAGCUUAUGAACUCUUCUCCUCCCAUAUGGCUUAUUGGAUAGACUUGAAACUUUGUACAAUGCUUAAUUGUCAUUUGUAGAUGUGCAUAUUGUGGGAAUGGGAGGAUCCAAAGUUUUUCCUAAAAGAUAUAGUGGAUCUAAAAGGGGUGGAGGAUGUUAAAAUACCUUGUGAACACUUCUCCUAUAUGGCUUAUCUGAUAGACUUGAGAAUUUGUACAAUGCUUCAAUGCCAUUUGUAGAUGUGCAAGUUGUAGGGACAGGAGGAUCCAAUUGCUAUCCUUAAAGUUAAAGUGGAUCUGAGGGGUGUAGGGUAUAAAAUAGUUUGUGAACGCUUCUCCUCCUAUAUGGCUUAUCAGAGUUCAUGUCUAUCUUCCUGCCCAUGCUUUCUCCUCCAUACUAUUCAAUACAUUAAGGGGGAUGUUUCCUAUAUUUUACGAAUUAAUUGGUUGAUUGACAACAAACUUGGUACACUUGUACAGCAUAUAUAAGGAGUAGAUGACCCCUAUUGAUUCUUAGGUCACAUGGUCAGUCCACUCUUGACAUAGGAAGGUAUUGUCUGCUCAAUAUUUUGAAUUGGUGUAACUACUAUCAAUUAAAUGAGGCACGGGUAUAACCCUUUCAAUUUUGCAACUUGGGGGGCAUAUGUGUUUUAGAAACAUCUCUUGUGUUGUAUUAUAUGAAUUACAGUUUUUAGUGUGCUCAGUUUAGAGAAUAGCAUAAAAGUAUUUGAUAAUUAAAUAUCUUACAGAUUGGCAGUUUACUCCAUGCACCGAAAGGAAUGAUAAACUGUGAUAUUCGUAAAUGGAACUGGAACACGUUCUAAAUAUACUCAGGGACAGAAUGAUGUGCAGCAAGGCUCGUCAUGGAUUUUACCAAAUACAGAACACUGCAAGGCUUGCAAAAUGAAGACCUCAGUAAAAAAAAUUCUAAAUUAUCCACUAAUGGCAGCUCACUACCUGCCCCUUGUGAUGUUAAAAGAGGCCGUUGUUCUCAUUUGUUCCAAAACAGGAAUGGCAUAUGAGGAGGCCAACAGAAGAUGCACCUCCACUGACCUCCACUGAGUGUGCACUCACAAAACGAAUAAAUUAUUAUUAUUUCUUUUGUUUGUAAUUGUAUAUUGUCAACAAGGUCAAAGGCACUUGAUCCGAUGCCAAACUUUUGCAUUUCUUUUGCUUUGUGGUAAAUUUUCUUCAGCAACAUUAACAUUGUUUAAAUUGUUUUCUUUGGAGAGUUUACAUGUACACAUGGAUCAUUUGUAUAUUAGAAUUAUAGCAUUGUUUAAUUCAACUCAUUCUUAUCAUAGAGAGGUUAUUAUAUACUGCAGGCAACGACUUGUAAAGGGUAUACUGUUUUAACUCACAUGCAAGGCAGUAUUAUGAAACUCUGUAGUUGAUAAGGACAUAUAUCACAUAUCGAUAUGCAUAUUUACAGGAAACUCUGAUGUAUUUUAAAUCUGAACGUUAAUUUAAAAGUGGGGAGAAAUAGCAUUGGAUGAAAAAAGACACAUAUGAAGAAAAUUAUUCCAUACGUAAAUACUUUUUAGCUCACCUGAGCUGAAAGCUCAAGUGAGCUUUUCUGAUCGCCUGUUGUUCAUUGUCUGUCCGUGCAUGAUUAAACAUUUUAUAUUUUCUCCAGAAGCACUGGGCCAAUAAUAACCAAACUUAACAAAAAGUAUCCUUGGGUAAAGGGCUUUCGAGUUUGUUCAAAUGAAGGGCCAUGCCCUCUUCAAAGGGGAGAUGACCACAAAAAUAGGGUGGGUCAUUUAAUUUUUUUUAUCAAGAACCAUUGGGCCAGAAGAGCUGAAAUGUACAUGAAAGCUUCCUGACAUAGUACAGAUUCAAGUUUAUUGAAAUCAUGGCCUCCUGGGGUUGUAUGGGGCCACAAUAGAGAAUCAAAGUUUUACAUACAAUUAUUCAGGAAAACUCUUUCAAUAUGAGCCAAGGUGGCUCAGGUGAGCGAUGUGGCCCAUGGGCCUCUUGUUCAACAUAUAGAAUAAAUAGUUAUGUUGUAUUUCCCAUGGAACAUUGAAACGUUGAAUGCGUUUACCAAUUAAUCACUGAAAGAAAGAUAAAAUUGUUGUUUCAUAUGUUUUAUGAAAACUUAAAGAUGUUUCAUUUCUUUUCAUGAAAGACCCCUUAAUUACCCAGUAAUAUAUAAUCAAUUCUUAACAGAUUAUGUAAAUUUGAUUUAUAUUAAGGAUGUUUGAUCUGAUUACCCAUCAUUAUCAAUCUGUCUAAUAUGGCCAUCAUGUGUUACUAUUGCUACGCAAUCUUGGAGCAUGAGGUAGAAUGCGAGCCAGCUCUUUCAUAAGUACAUGUAUCUGGAAAAUAUUUCAAUGUCAAAGGUUACAACAAUGUGAUAAUUUAAUCAUUGUAUGUCUAAGGUGUUGAUAAUAAAACUGUUAUCUGUUCAA